AGUCCACAUCGACGGGGAGGUUUGGCACCUCGAUGUCGGCUCAUCACAUCCUGGGGCUGUAGUAGGUCCCAAGGGUUGGGCUGUUCGCCCAUUAAAGUGGUACGCGAGCUGGGUUCAGAACGUCGUGAGACAGUUCGGUCCCUAUCCGUCGCAGGCGUAGGAAAGUUGAGAAGACCUGUCCUUAGUACGAGAGGACCGGGAUGGACGUACCUCUGGUGUACCAGUUGUCCUGCCAAGGGCAUGGCUGGGUAGCUAUGUACGGAAUGGAUAAGCGCUGAAAGCAUCUAAGCGCGAAGCCAACUUCAAGAUAAGAUUUCCCACCGCAAGGGUAAGACCCCAGAAAGACUAUCUGGUUG
This 356-nucleotide ribosomal RNA is filed under the name Clostridioides difficile. RNAcentral describes it as "partial 23S ribosomal RNA". It matches the Rfam family "Bacterial large subunit ribosomal RNA", at positions 2497 to 2855 of the family's 2925-position model. Lineage: Bacteria; Bacillati; Bacillota; Clostridia; Peptostreptococcales; Peptostreptococcaceae. The record is from RNAcentral.